UAUGUGAUCGUCUCUCGCAUAUCAAUAAGCGGAGGAAAAGAAACUAACAAGGAUUCCCCUAGUAACGGCGAGUGAAGCGGGAAGAGCUCAAAUUUGAAAUCUUAAAGGGUUUCCCUUUACGAAUUGUAGUUUAAAGAAGUGUUUUCUGUUGAGGUUUUGGUAAAAGUUCUUUGGAAUAGGACAUCAUAGAGGGUGAGAAUCCCGUAUUUGACCUUUACUUUCAACUUUGUGAUACACUUUCAAAGAGUCGGAUUGUUUGGGAAUGCAGUCCAAAAUGGGUGGUAAAUUUCAUCUAAAGCUAAAUAUUGGCGAGAGACCGAUAGCGAACAAGUACCGUGAGGGAAAGAUGAAAAGAACUUUGAAAAGAGAGUUAAACAGUACGUGAAAUUGUCAAAAGGGAAGCGUUUGACACCAGUGUUGUUUUUCUGAAAAUCAAUUAAAGAACUGUUUAUGCUAAGCUGUUUAGACUUUAUCAGCUAUCUGUUUAGUUUUGAGCUUUUCUUUAAUGCACUUUUCAGUUAACAAGUCAACAUCAAUUUCUUUUGCUGUAAAAAAGCUUGAGGAAGGUGGCUUGAGAUUCGUCUUAAGUGUUUAUAGCCUCUUGCCUAUGCAGUCGGAGAGAUUGAGGUCUGCAGCGUAGAUCCUUCGGGGCUAAAUGCAUUUGUGCUAAGUUAUAACAUUUUAUAGACAACUUGUUGACUAUGAUUUGUCUUGUAGCUUACUCGCUUAUGUUAUUUUACCUACGCUUAGGAUGUUGAAGACUCUACAGAGAUA
Molecule: ribosomal RNA, 774 nt
Filed under: uncultured Neocallimastigales
Lineage: Eukaryota; Fungi; Neocallimastigomycota; Neocallimastigomycetes; Neocallimastigales
Description: partial large subunit ribosomal RNA
Rfam family: Eukaryotic large subunit ribosomal RNA
Source: RNAcentral